RNAcentral lists this long non-coding RNA (653 nucleotides) under Strigops habroptila (Kakapo). Its description in RNAcentral is "lncRNA (ENSSHBG00005007147.1)". Lineage: Eukaryota; Metazoa; Chordata; Aves; Psittaciformes; Psittacidae. The record is from RNAcentral.
GGGACUGAGUGUGGGGAGCGGACUGAGGCCGAGCGGGGUUGCUGGACCGCAGUUGAUUCUCGGGCAUUUCUCGGCCUCCGAGAGCGGUUCGGCGUCCCGGUGGAAGCGGAGCUGCAGUUUCGCCAUCUUCAGCUCGCCAAGCGCCAGCAGCGGCUUCUGCUCGGCCUGGCCGCCCGUGCGGCGGUGGAGGGACUCCCGACGCGGGGUGGGGCGGUCACCGAGGGUGGUGCGGGACGGCGAGGCCGAGCAGCCUGCGGCUGAGGGCGGCCUGGGGGAGCGAGGAGUUUCGGUAGCGUUUCCUAAUAGGAUUCAUGGGGCUGUGAGAGGAAAAACUGAAUAGGCUGAGAUGAUAGAACAAUGUCCUCUCUGACUACAGAAAAGCACUCUCAAAUUUCCGUACCACUACUUGAAGUGUGGUGAUGCUUUUAAAGCAGACAUUUUCCGUGGCCUUAACUGCUCGCAGGUCUGUCCUAAACCUGAAGUAGCCACUGUGCAUACCUAAUUUGUGGUACAGCCACGACUGACUUGAUUUUACCAAGCUAUCUGAUCUCAAACCCACCCACAAGCUGGAAGGCAUAGAGUGAUGUUAAGCAGACCCACUUCCUGAUCCAUCAUAUAUGGCAGAAAUAUACAUCAGAAUACAAGCAAAGAAA